UCCUCGCAUUGCUGCGGGCAGAUGAAAUGUAUAUGCGUGUCGAUCCCGCCGGCGGUGACGAUGCGGCCCUCGCCGGCGAUGAUCUCCGUGCCGGGGCCGAUGAUGAUGUCGACGCCGGGUUGAAUGUCGGGAUUGCCGGCCUUGCCGAUGCGCGCGAUGCGGCCAUUGACGACGCCGAUAUCGGCUUUGACGAUUCCCCAAUGAUCGAGAAUGACGGCGUUGGUGAUGACGGUGUCGACGGCGCCCUCGGCAUUGCUGCGCUGGCUCUGUCCCAUGCCGUCGCGGA
RNAcentral lists this small RNA (286 nucleotides) under Methylosinus sp. 3S-1. RNAcentral describes it as "5' ureB small RNA". It matches the Rfam family "5' ureB small RNA". Lineage: Bacteria; Pseudomonadati; Pseudomonadota; Alphaproteobacteria; Hyphomicrobiales; Methylocystaceae. The record is from Rfam by way of RNAcentral.